RNAcentral lists this transfer RNA (74 nucleotides) under Hydrobates castro. Its description in RNAcentral is "tRNA-Val". Lineage: Eukaryota; Metazoa; Chordata; Aves; Procellariiformes. The record is from RNAcentral.
CAAGACGUAGCUAUAACACCAAAAGCAUUCAGCUUACACCUGAAAGAUAUCUGCUACCCACCAGAUCGUCUUGA